GACGAACGCUGGCGGCGUGCCUAAUACAUGCAAGUUGAGCGCUGAAGGUUGGUACUUGUACCGACUGGAUGAGCAGCGAACGGGUGAGUAACGCGUGGGGAAUCUGCCUUUGAGCGGGGGACAACAUUUGGAAACGAAUGCUAAUACCGCAUAAAAACUUUAAACACAAGUUUUAAGUUUGAAAGAUGCAAUUGCAUCACUCAAAGAUGAUCCCGCGUUGUAUUAGCUAGUUGGUGAGGUAAAGGCUCACCAAGGCGAUGAUACGUAGCCGACCUGAGAGGGUGAUCGGCCACAUUGGGACUGAGACACGGCCCAAACUCCUACGGGAGGCAGCAGUAGGGAAUCUUCGGCAAUGGACGAAAGUCUGACCGAGCAACGCCGCGUGAGUGAAGAAGGUUUUCGGAUCGUAAAACUCUGUUGGUAGAGAAGAACGUUGGUGAGAGUGGAAAGCUCAUCAAGUGACGGUAACUACCCAGAAAGGGACGGCUAACUACGUG
This 497-nucleotide ribosomal RNA is filed under the name uncultured bacterium. RNAcentral's name for it is "partial 16S ribosomal RNA". It matches the Rfam family "Bacterial small subunit ribosomal RNA", at positions 28 to 507 of the family's 1533-position model. The record is from RNAcentral.